Molecule: ribosomal RNA, 814 nt
Filed under: uncultured bacterium
Lineage: Bacteria
Description: bacterial SSU rRNA
Rfam family: Bacterial small subunit ribosomal RNA
Source: RNAcentral
GACGAACGCUGGCGGCGUGCUUAACACAUGCAAGUCGAACGAAAAGAGGGAAAGAGCUUGCUCUUUCCGGAAUUGAGUGGCAAACGGGUGAGUAACACGUAAACAACCUGCCUUCAGGAUGGGGACAACAGACGGAAACGACUGCUAAUACCGAAUAAGUUCCAAGAGCCGCAUGGCCCAUGGAAGAAAAGGUGGCCUCUACCUGUAAGCCAUCGCCUGAAGAGGGGUUUGCGUCUGAUUAGCUGGUUGGAGGGGUAACGGCCCACCAAGGCGACGAUCAGUAGCCGGUCUGAGAGGAUGAACGGCCACACUGGAACUGAGACACGGUCCAGACUCCUACGGGAGGCAGCAGUGGGGAAUCUUCCGCAAUGGGCGAAAGCCUGACGGAGCAACGCCGCGUGAGUGAUGACGGCCUUCGGGUUGUAAAACUCUGUGAUCCGGGACGAAAAGGCAGAGUGCGUAGAACAAACUGCAUUGACGGUACCGGAAAAGCAAGCCACGGCUAACUACGUGCCAGCAGCCGCGGUAAUACGUAGGUGGCAAGCGUUGUCCGGAAUUAUUGGGCGUAAAGCGCGCGCAGGCGGCUUCCCAAGUCCCUCUUAAAAGUGCGGGGCUUAACCCCGUGAUGGGAAGGAAACUGGGAAGCUGGAGUAUCGGAGAGGAAAGUGGAAUUCCUAGUGUAGCGGUGAAAUGCGUAGAGAUUAGGAAGAACACCGGUGGCGAAGGCGACUUUCUGGACGAAAACUGACGCUGAGGCGCGAAAGCGUGGGGAGCAAACAGGGUUAGAUCCCCUGGUAGUCCACGCCGUAAACGA